UCUCAGGGAAGAAAUGAUCCGAUAGAGAAUGCAAGAGAUUCAAGGGCUGAUUUGGCUUAUGAGUCUAAGAAAUGGAGAGAAGAAUCUGGAUACUCAGAGGCAGGCAAAGAGAAUGCUAAAGACAAAGCUUAUGAUAUGAAAGAGAAGACGAAAGACUAUGCAGAACAAACUAAGGAUAAAGUGAAUGAAGGAGCGAGCAGAGCAGCUGACAAAGCUUACGAGACAAAAGAGAGUGCUAAGGACAAAGCUUAUGAUGUAAAAGAGAAGACGAAAAAUUAUGCUGAGCAAACUAAGGAUAAAGUAAACGAAGGAGCGAGCAAAGCAGCUGAUAAAGCCUACGAGACGAAAGAGAAGGCAAAGGAAAAAGCUUAUGAUGUGAAAGAGAAGACAAAAGAUUAUGCAGAACAAGCAAAGGAUAAAGUGAACGAAGGAGCGAGCAGAGCAGCUGACAAAGCGUAUGAGACGAAAGAGAAAGCCAAGGACAAAGCGUAUGAUGUGAAAGAGAAGACAAAAGAUUAUGCGAAAGAGACUAAGGAUAAGGUGAAUGAAGGUGCAAAUAGAGCCGCAGAUAAAGCGGAAGAGACUAAAGACAGAGCCAAGGA
RNAcentral lists this long non-coding RNA (602 nucleotides) under Eutrema salsugineum. RNAcentral describes it as "long non-coding RNA (ESAL_LNC001323)". The record is from RNAcentral. Lineage: Eukaryota; Viridiplantae; Streptophyta; Magnoliopsida; Brassicales; Brassicaceae.